This 1651-nucleotide ribosomal RNA is filed under the name Escherichia coli. RNAcentral describes it as "partial 23S ribosomal RNA". It matches the Rfam family "Bacterial large subunit ribosomal RNA", at positions 1 to 1603 of the family's 2925-position model. The record is from RNAcentral. Lineage: Bacteria; Pseudomonadati; Pseudomonadota; Gammaproteobacteria; Enterobacterales; Enterobacteriaceae.
UUCAAGUCUUUAAGAGCAAACGGUGGAUGCCUUGGCAUCUGGAGCCGAAGAAGGACGUAGCAAUCUGCGAUAAGCCUCGGGGAACUGAUAAGCAAGUUUUGAUCCGAGGGUGUCCGAAUGGGGAAACCCCGCUGGGCGGCGUGCCGACCUAGUGACUCCCGCCUGAAUAUAUAGGGCGGGUAGAGGGAACGUGGGGAAGUGAAACAUCUCAGUACCCACAGGAAGAGAAAGCAACCGCGAUUCCGUUAGUAGUGGCGAGCGAAACCGGAACAGGCUAAACCUAGCGUGUGUGAUAGCCGGCAGGCGUUGCACGUUGGGGGUUGUGGGACUUUUCAGUCAUCUCUGCCGAGAUGGCGGCGUUACAAGAUGGUAUAGACGAACGGUCUUGAAAGGCCGGUCAUAGAGGGUGCCAACCCCGUAGUCGAAAUGCCAACCUUGGCGCGAAGAGUAUCCCAAGUAGCACGGGGCCCGUGAAAUCCCGUGUGAAUCUGUCAGGACCACCUGAUAAGCCUAAAUACUCCCAGAUGACCGAUAGCGGACAAGUACCGUGAGGGAAAGGUGAAAAGUACCCCGGGAGGGGAGUGAAAUAGUACCUGAAACCGUUUGCUUACAAACCGUUGGAGCAGCCUUAGUAGCUGUGACAGCGUGCCUUUUGAAGAAUGAGCCUGCGAGUUAGCGAUAUGUGGCGAGGUUAACCCGUGUGGGGUAGCCGUAGCGAAAGCGAGUCUGAAUAGGGCGAUUCAGUCGCAUGUCCUAGACCCGAAGCGAAGUGAUCUAUCCAUGGCCAGGUUGAAGCGACGGUAAGACGUCGUGGAGGACCGAACCCACUUAGGUUGAAAACUGAGGGGAUGAGCUGUGGAUAGGGGUGAAAGGCCAAUCAAACUUCGUGAUAGCUGGUUCUCUCCGAAAUGCAUUUAGGUGCAGCGUUGCGUGUUUCUUGCCGGAGGUAGAGCUACUGGAUGGCCGAUGGGCCCUACAAGGUUACUGACGUCAGCCAAACUCCGAAUGCCGGUAAGUGAGAGCGCAGCAGUGAGACUGUGGGGGAUAAGCUUCAUAGUCGAGAGGGAAACAACCCAGACCACCAACUAAGGUCCCAAAGCGCGUGCUAAGUGGGAAAGGAUGUGGAGUUGCCUUGACAACCAGGAGGUUGGCUUAGAAGCAGCCACCCUUGAAAGAGUGCGUAAUAGCUCACUGGUCAAGUGAUUCCGCGCCGACAAUGUAACGGGGCUCAAGCACGCCACCGAAGUUGUGGCAUUGACAUUAUUGGUAGGCCUUCGUGGUCCAGCCGUGUUGAUGGGUAGGAGAGCGUCGUGUGGCCAGCGAAGCGGCGGUGUAAACCAGCCGUGGAGGCUACACGAGUGAGAAUGCAGGCAUGAGUAGCGAAAGACGUGUGAGAAACACGUCCUCCGAAAGACCAAGGGUUCCAGGGUCAAGCUAAUCUUCCCUGGGUAAGUCGGGACCUAAGGCGAGGCCGACAGGCGUAGUCGAUGGACAACGGGUUGAUAUUCCCGUACCGGCGAAGUACCGCCCAUACCGAUACCGGUGAUGCUAACCGCCCAAGACCCCAGUGGUCUCCUUCGGGAGAGUGCUGGUGGUUGCGCGCGGGACCCGAACCGGCAGUAGGUAAGCGUAUUAACAGGGGUGACGCAGA